RNAcentral lists this ribosomal RNA (440 nucleotides) under uncultured bacterium. Its description in RNAcentral is "partial 16S ribosomal RNA". It matches the Rfam family "Bacterial small subunit ribosomal RNA", at positions 338 to 795 of the family's 1533-position model. The record is from RNAcentral.
CCUACUGGAGACAUCAUUGGGGCAUCUUGCACAAUGGGGGAAACCCUGAUGCAGCGACGCCGCGUGAGUUCCUCCUUCCUUCUUUCCUUCCCUCUCUCUCCUCCUUUCCUCCCAUUCCUUUCCCUUAGUAAGAAGCCCCUGCUACCUACGUGCCAUCAGCCGCUUUAAUACGUAGGUUUCCCGAGUGAUCCUUCUUUCCUUUUUGUAAAGGGAGCGUAGACGGUGCGCCAAGUCUGGAGUGAAAUGCCGCAGCUUAACUGCGGAACGGCUUUGUAAACUGGCGAACGAGAGUGCGGGAGGGGUAAGCGGAAUUCAUAGUGUAGCGGUGAAAUGCGUAGAGAUUAGGAGGAACACCGGUGGCGAAGGCGGCUUACGGGACAGUAAAUGAAGUUGAGGCUCGAAAGAGGGGGGAGCAAACAGGAGGAGAGAAAAAAGGAGUC